AGCGCUGGAGAGAGAGGAGGCGUCACAAACAAAUACUCGAAGAAGCAAACCACGCACUCUGAAACCUCUCUCCCCACGGCGCUGCCUUCCAAAACUAUUAGAUCCAAGCUCCUGAGAAAAGUUACACAAGGUUAGCUGUAGGGGACACACACACGAGAGGUGGCCAGUAGUGAGCCCGACCAUUAUGGACGGAAAACACGGAUUUAUACCCCAGCCCGCUGGGGUAUAACCUGGAGCAAAUUCAUCUCUAUUAUAGUCACUGUGAACUGAGGAUUUCAUCCUAAAUUUCUUAUUUCAGAAAAAGUAUGUUCUCUGGGCCUUACCCAUUUAAGAACUCAGAUUCUAAACGUGGAGGCCAUCAGAGCCAAGGUCUCUAUAAUGUCCCGAUUCGGCAGCUCCGUAAGCUGGCCCACCAUCAGAGCUUUGCAUGCCACCAUCAAAGGACACACACGGGAGACUUCCCUUGUCGUCCAGUGGCUAAGACUCCAUGCUCUCAGGGCAGGGGCCCUGAUCCCUGGUCGGGGAACUAGAUCCCACAUGCCGCAACUAAGAGUUUGCAUGCCGCAACUAAAGAUCCCACAUGCUGCAACUAAAAAGAUCCCGCGCACGACAACCAAGAUCCUGCAUGCUGCAAGUAAGACCUGGCACAGCCAAAUAAAUAAUAAAUAUUGAAGAACAAAAAAGGACACACGCAGGCAAGAAGAGAGCCAUGCGUCCCGAGACGUGUCAAGACGCCAGGGCACAGGCUGCCUGGUCCAUUAAUUCAAGAGUCAUCGGCCACAGUGUCACCGAGGGAGGCUCACCGAGGCUGCUCCUGUCUGCAGGUCACUCUGCCCAUGUUGUCCCUCCCCUGGGGUCUACCUGGGGCUCCUCUCGGGGCUAUUGGGAUCGGAUGGUCACUGCUGCCCUCCUCUCCCUGAGGUGUCCUGCGCAAACGCCUCCUCUCCACCAGGAGUCUUAUCUCAUAUUCCAGUUGUCGCACUGGAUUCUGAGACACCCCCUUCUCCAGGUGUGCCAAGGUGGAGUUAAAAUUACAAGGAUCCUGCAGAAUGAGAAAGACUGGGAAGAAACGUGCUACCAGAGAUAUCUGCGAUUAACAUGAACCAUAUUAAUGUUUUCCAGUCGAGUCAAAGAUCAUUUUUAACCUGGGCUGGAUAUUUUCUCAGUUGCCUCCAGAGUUCCACUCAACGAGAGUGUAUGUAAUUUCUGUAGUGUGUUUGUUAAAGCCCAUAUUUAGAACAAAGCCAUUUGGAAUGUAGAUUGGUACAGCCACUAUGGAGAACAGUAUGGAGGUUCCUCAAAAAACUAAGAAUAGGGCUUCCCUGGUGGCGCAGUGGUUGAGAGUCCGCCUGCCGAUGCAGGGGACACGGGUUCGUGCCCCGGUCUGGGAAGAUCCCACAUGCCGCGGAGCGGCUGGGCCCAUGAGCCAUGGCCGCUAAGCCUGCGCGUCCGGAGCCUGUGCUCCGCAGCGGGGGAGGCCACAGCAGUGAGAGGCCCGCGUACCGCAAAAAAACAAAGAAACAAAAAACUAAGAAUAGAGUUGCCAUAGGAUCCUGCAAUCCCACUCCCGGGCGUAUAUCUGGACAAAACUAUAAUUAAAAAACACACAUGCACUCCUAUGUUCACAGCAGCACUAUUUACAAUAGCCAAGACAUGGAAAACAGCCUAAAUGCCCAUCGACAGAGAAAUGGAUAAAGAAGAUGUGGUACAUAUAUACAAUGGACUAUUACUCAGCAUAAAAAGAAUGAAAUAAUGCCAUUUGCAGAAACAUGGAUGGACCUAGAGAUUAUCAUACUAAGCAAAGUAUCUCAGGCUUCUAAGUGAAAGAACGCUCAGGACGGUGUGGUGAAAUCUGCCCAUAUUAACUACCCACAGUAAUCAUUUUAACUGUUUCUGCUUUGAACGGCUUCACCCUGGGAGAGCAAACAUCUCUGGCUCUUCACAGAAGCAGAUUCCCUUCGAGAACUGAGAGACUGGUGGUGUUACACGGAGGUGGCAAUUUAGACUUUUUCCUCUCAAUAACUUUACUAUUUCUAUACUUCUUGAUUAGCUCAAAACAUUGAAGUAAAUCAGGGCCACGGGAUGGGGAGCAGGGAAGGAGGGAAGCUGAGACCUGGAGACCAGAAGGGGGUCUGAGGAAACCCCGAGAAGGUGUCAGUCACCUGCUGUGACUGAAAGCACCCCAGUUUGGUCCAGCUGAGCCCAAACCCACUGGCAGUUGCCCGAAACAGUUUACAAAAGUGCCGUCAAUUAGCCAGAAACAGCACAGGUUUAACACACCUUGUGGUUUUACCCUCAAAACAUUACAAGGAAGAGAGUUCCUAGGGAACACUUCAGCUUCAUGGGUAAAGAAGAUGAAGACUUCGGGAAAUGCUGAAAAUGUUAACAAACCCCAGAGAGGAGGCAGAGAGCCUCUCAGCUACUCAGCUGUUUCGCUUCUUUUUCUCUUUUCAUGGAAAGCACGAGCUCAAAGGAGCAGGGACGGGGUAACCGUGACCAGAAGGCGCUGAAGCUGGAAGUGGAGCCAGGAGAAAAGCUGUGUCUCUCGCCCAGGUAUGCCGCCUCCCACCCCAAGUCAGGAGUCCCCGACCGUUUCAGGUUGUUUCCAGGCCCGUCAGGAAUCCUGACAGUACGGACCUGGAGAGGAAGAAUGCAGUUUCCUGCACUCUGCACACUGCAGCCUGCUGUCAUUGUCAUUUAUGUUGGACAAACCCUGAAAGACACAGAGACACACUCACUAAAUGUUCCAUCUCACAGAAGCAGCUGAUGCGGUCGAGUGACCAGAAGCCAGGUGGCCCUGCAGAGCAGGAGGACCAGCUGAAAGCUCAGGUGAAAGUGAAGAGGGGAGAAUGUCAAGCCUCCGUUCGGGGCCCAACAACUUAAUUUCAGAAUUGGGAGACCUGAGCGUCACCUCCUUGACCAAGCUUCCCAUCAAUGCCACCCUCUUGUGUUUCCUGAUUCCCUGCUGUGGGCUCUCGAGGGCAAAACCCCUGGCUGAGAUCAGGGACCACACCCACAGACCACCCAGGCCUGGCACGGGGUCCACAUCUAACCCGUAUUUGCCAAAAGAACAAUUUCAUGCAUAGUAACAAAACAAAAGCAAUUUUACACAAUGAAAGCACAAAAUUCCAAGAUCAAACCAUCAGUGAGCUUGUGCACAUCUGAGCAGGGCCACCUGGGGCAUGUGGGGAGGCCGGGAUGGGCACCUUGGUCACAGGAAGGACUUCUGAGGGUAUGUGAUUGCAUCUGGUGAAGAGCAAUCCCACUGCCCUGGAGGAUGGAAUGGAACGGACCUCACGCUUCCACUACACUUUAAAAUACUUGUUACAUUUUGAUUUUACAACAGUAAGAGUAACCUCUAGUUUUUAGAAAUGAAAUACUGCCUACAUACUGUUAACCCUAUUGGCCCAAAUGGUUUAAAACAUCCCAACUUCAACUUUACUUUUUGCUAACAGGACAAAAUAUCUACAGGUUCAUUUAUGUGAUCAAUUUCCAAGUAACCGGUGUGACCGGUGUGACUUUGGCUGUCUCUUCUUCCCUCAGGAAUUCAGUUUCCUUUUCUGUACUAGAUUAUUUAAGUGCCCCCCUGAGUCUUAAAAUUCUAGAAUUCAGUAUAAAAUGAACAGGACCUCCCUGCCAAGUGUGGCAUUCUAAUCUGGAAGACAGUGAGCAGGGAAUCAACUCUCAUCCCUCCCUCCCUCCCUCCUCUUCCCCUCUGUCCAUCAAACAUUUAUUUGUACCAAGCCAAACUCAUUUCUCUGGUUAGGGGCAUAUAUCGUGAGUGAGUCAGGAAUACAGGUGUUCCCUCUGUAAAGGUCUUCCAGCAGGUGUCUGUGUCCUGGCUGUGAGCCUCAAGGUACCCUCAAGCAAUCCAGAUGACUGGACCUGUGGACGGGGACGGGGACAGGGCUAGAACGCGCGGGAGAGGAAGCCAUGGGAAAACCCAGUCAAGAGCAAGGAACACAGCUGCUGGGGUGUCCCACAAGGGCGUUCGUUCACAAGAUAGUUCCCUAAUUCUACUGCCCCGUCGUUCAAGGACCUUCUCAACGUCUCUGCCCCUAAGAGAUCAUUUAUUUUGAGACCAAGGCAGGAAUGAUCACUUUCCUCGGGCUCAAAUUUACCAUAUGCUCUAUCAGGAGGCGUAAGAAAUCUGGUCCAUUCUUACAUAUUGAUAAUUCUAUGUUCCAGAGCAGAUGCGGUGGUGUCUUAAACUUUCAUUGUCCUGCCUUUGGGAGUUGUAGACAAUCACAGUGUAUUGUCUUUCUUGCUUUGUUUUAUUUGAAAGCUAACCCCAAGAAGCAUUAUAAGCUAGAAACGGGAACUCUCGAAGGGACCAGGAUGUAGUGAAUGCCUCCUAGGAAAUGCCUCCCCUGCAUCUCUUUGUUUCCUGGCGGUGGGAGUGUGGGGUAGAGCGCAGUUCUUCUCAGGUCUGCUCCCACCCACUUCACACACAGCAGAGUGGACAGGGCCGGAGAGCCGGGGCUGCCCCCUGGCCACCUCCCUGGAACACCUGGCCCAAUGCCUGCAGUGAGGCCACCCUGGUGCUGCUGACCCCAGGGCAGAACAUCGGUAAAUGCAAUCACCACCACCCUGUGUGCACUUUAUCAGGGAAAUGGGGAUCUGGCCUCCCAGGACCAGGCAAGAGUCGGGGGCCCAGAAACCUCAGGGCUCCUCUGACUUGGGCGGGGGGUCAUCAGAUGGUUUAACAGGGGCUGUUGGGGACACACGUGGGGCAGACCAGCUCUCCGUCCCCCGCCCAGGGACAGUACCUGGGACAGGGCUGCAGCGCCAGCACCCAGGCCUAGGUCUCCCUGGGGCAUCUUGUCAGUGAUGUGCAUAUUUCAGAAAUUGUUAGACACGGAGGACCAACUGUCAAAACCUGAGGGUCUGGACAGAAGCAAGGCCUUGCUCUCCCCAAUCAGCUUUCCUGAGUUUCCAAUGAACCUGCCCCGAGGAAGGAACGGCUCCAUUAGAGGCAGGAAGCAGUUCUUGGAGGAAGACGCCACAGAUGAUUGUGACAAGGUCACCUUUGCCUGCAGAGGGGAGUCCAUGCUCCCAAAGAGCAGGGACGGGGGCAGGGGAGAGUCUAACCUCAAAGCUCCAGGACAGAUGGACAGGCAGAGAAGGGCUGGUGACCAUGCAGCUUGUCUGGGCGGACUCGGGAAAGUCCCAGCCCCCCACGGCUCCCAAGUCAGCAUCCAAUAGAGAAAGCGGACGGCAUUGCAAAAAAUACAAAUGACAAACACAUCCCCACAAAAGAAAAUAAGCUAACUGAACUAACUAAAAGGUUCACCCUGGCUCAAGGGAGGUUAGGAGACCAGACACGUGCUACUUUGCCCCGUAAACCAGCAUGUGAAUGACCCCAGAGACGUCGCUGCUCACCCCUUGCUUGAGGACCAGCCUCUUCCGGUUCCCCUGCCCCCACCCCGACUGAUGGGUCCGUCCCUGCACUUCACGACUUGUGGGACAGUGACACCUGCUGACAGUCACGGUUACUAGGCGCCAGUGCUCAGAAAUUAAAUGG
Orcinus orca (killer whale) is the source of this 5524-nucleotide long non-coding RNA. RefSeq lists it as uncharacterized. The record is from RefSeq and is a predicted model, not a curated record. Lineage: Eukaryota; Metazoa; Chordata; Mammalia; Artiodactyla; Delphinidae. The transcript has 3 exons.